GACGAACGCUGGCGGCGUGCUUAACACAUGCAAGUCGAACGGAAAGGCCCUGCUUUUGUGGGGUGCUCGAGUGGCGAACGGGUGAGUAACACGUGAGUAACCUGCCCUUGACUUUGGGAUAACUUCAGGAAACUGGGGCUAAUACCGGAUAGGAGCUCCUGCUGCAUGGUGGGGGUUGGAAAGUUUCGGCGGUUGGGGAUGGACUCGCGGCUUAUCAGCUUGUUGGUGGGGUAGUGGCUUACCAAGGCUUUGACGGGUAGCCGGCCUGAGAGGGUGACCGGCUACAUUGGGAAUGAGAUACGGCCCAGAAUCCUACGGGAGGCAUCAGUGGGGAAUAUUGCACAAUGGGCGGAAGCCUGAUGCAGCAACGCCGCGUGCGGGAUGACGGCCUUCGGGUGGUAAACCGCUUUCGCCUGUGACGAAGCGUGAGUGACGGUAAUGGGUAAAGAAGCACCGGCUAACUACGUG
This 468-nucleotide ribosomal RNA is filed under the name uncultured bacterium. RNAcentral's name for it is "partial 16S ribosomal RNA". It matches the Rfam family "Bacterial small subunit ribosomal RNA", at positions 28 to 507 of the family's 1533-position model. The record is from RNAcentral.